This 206-nucleotide small nucleolar RNA is filed under the name Chelydra serpentina (North American snapping turtle). RNAcentral's name for it is "Small nucleolar RNA SNORA73 family (ENSCSRG00000011758.1)". It matches the Rfam family "Small nucleolar RNA SNORA73 family". Rfam says of the family: U17 (SNORA73A and SNORA73B) also known as E1 belongs to the H/ACA class of small nucleolar RNAs (snoRNAs). Vertebrate U17 is intron-encoded and ranges in length from 200-230 nucleotides, longer than most snoRNAs. The record is from Rfam by way of RNAcentral. Lineage: Eukaryota; Metazoa; Chordata; Testudines; Chelydridae.
CCAACGUGGGCAUCCGGAGAAGUUGCUCUCUCUCGGCUCUGCCCGGGUGGCGUACGGGAGCGUAGGCCCUCGGGCUCCGUGACGUACAGUCCCCUUCCACGGCGUUGGAGAACAAGCCGGGCCUCUGGUCUGCAGCCUGCAUAUUCCUACUGCUUCUCUGAGUCCUCGGACUGUGACUGAGGAGAUCCACCAUGCAGGAGACAUUG